Molecule: ribosomal RNA, 466 nt
Filed under: Capnocytophaga cynodegmi
Lineage: Bacteria; Pseudomonadati; Bacteroidota; Flavobacteriia; Flavobacteriales; Flavobacteriaceae
Description: bacterial SSU rRNA
Rfam family: Bacterial small subunit ribosomal RNA
Source: RNAcentral
GAGUUUGAUUAUGGCUCAGGACGAACGCUAGCGGCAGGCCUAACACAUGCAAGUCGAGGGGUAGAGUGCUUCGGCGCUUGAGACCGGCGUACGGGUGCGUAACGCGUGUACAAUCUACCUUUUGCUAAGGGAUAGCCCGAAGAAAUUUGGAUUAAUACCUUAUAGUAUUAUUUGGUGGCAUCAUUAAAUAAUUAAAGCUACGGUGGCAAAAGAUGAGUACGCGUCCCAUUAGCUAGUUGGAGUGGUAACGGCACACCAAGGCUACGAUGGGUAGGGGUUCUGAGAGGGAUGUCCCCCACACUGGUACUGAGACACGGACCAGACUCCUACGGGAGGCAGCAGUGAGGAAUAUUGGACAAUGGUCGGAAGACUGAUCCAGCCAUGCCGCGUGCAGGAUGACGGCCUUAUGGGUUGUAAACUGCUUUUGUAUGGGAAGAAUAAGGUCUACGUGUAGAUUGAUGACGGU